AUUCAAAGAUUCGGGAAUUAGGGAGGUUAAGAAAAAGGGAGGAUACAAGGUUUUGGGGUAGGGGUCAAAAAAGGAACUUCUGGCGAUCAAUGCUGAAAGGUCGAUGUAUUGUACUAGUGAAUCGGGAUUUUAAUGAAGUGGAUGUGAUUACUCUUGACUUUUUUGUGAAAUCAAAGUUAUGUCUGUGAUUGAAGAAUUAAAAGGGUGUUUAUAGGAUUGAGUAUGCAGAGUGAAUAAAAGUUUUUGGAUUAAUCUAACAAGACAGUCAGUAGA
This 273-nucleotide long non-coding RNA is filed under the name Physcomitrium patens. RNAcentral's name for it is "long non-coding RNA (PPAT_LNC007260)". The record is from RNAcentral. Lineage: Eukaryota; Viridiplantae; Streptophyta; Bryopsida; Funariales; Funariaceae.